UUCCUACGGGGGGCAGCAGUGGGGAAUAUUGCACAAUGGGGGAAACCCUGAUGCAGCGACGCCGCGUGAGUGAAGAAGUAAUUCGUUAUGUAAAGCUCUAUCAGCAGGGAAGAAAAUGACGGUACCUGAGUAAGAAGCCCCGGCUAACUACGUGCCAGCAGCCGCGGUAAUACGUAGGGGGCAAGCGUUAUCCGGAUUUACUGGGUGUAAAGGGCGUGUAGCCGGGCUGACAAGUCAGAUGUGAAAUUCCGGGGCUCAACCCCGGACCUGCAUUUGAAACUGUUGGUCUUGAGUAUCGGAGAGGG
RNAcentral lists this ribosomal RNA (305 nucleotides) under uncultured bacterium. Its description in RNAcentral is "bacterial SSU rRNA". It matches the Rfam family "Bacterial small subunit ribosomal RNA", at positions 336 to 658 of the family's 1533-position model. The record is from RNAcentral.